GACGGGACCCGCACAAGCGGUGAUGAUGUGGUUUAAUUCGAUGCAACGCGAAAACCUUACCACCUUUGACAUGCUAGGAACUUGCCAGAGAUGGCUUGGUGCCCGAAAGGGAACCUAGACACAGGUGCUGCAUGGCUGUCGUCAGCUCGUGUCGUGAGAUGUUGGGUUAAGUCCCGCAACGAGCGCAACCCUUGUCAUUAAUUGCCAUCAUUCAGUUGGGCACUUUAAUGAGACUGCCGGUGACAAACCGGAGGAAGGUGGGGAUGACGUCAAGUCCUCAUGGCCCUUAUGGGUAGGGCUUCACACGUAAUACAAUGGUCGGUACAGAGGGUUGCCAACCCGCGAGGGGGAGCCAAUCCCAGAAAACCGAUCGUAGUCCGGAUUGCAGUCUGCAACUCGACUGCAUGAAGUCGGAAUCGCUAGUAAUCGCGGAUCAGCAUGUCGCGGUGAAUACGUUCCCGGGCCUU
RNAcentral lists this ribosomal RNA (467 nucleotides) under uncultured Methylophilaceae bacterium. Its description in RNAcentral is "bacterial SSU rRNA". It matches the Rfam family "Bacterial small subunit ribosomal RNA", at positions 916 to 1381 of the family's 1533-position model. Lineage: Bacteria; Pseudomonadati; Pseudomonadota; Betaproteobacteria; Nitrosomonadales; Methylophilaceae. The record is from RNAcentral.